Molecule: ribosomal RNA, 279 nt
Filed under: uncultured bacterium
Lineage: Bacteria
Description: partial 16S ribosomal RNA
Rfam family: Bacterial small subunit ribosomal RNA
Source: RNAcentral
UGCCAGCAGCCGCGGUAAGACGAACCGUCCAAACGUUAUUCGGAAUUACUGGGCUUAAAGGGUGCGUAGGCGGUCUGGAAAGUUGGGUGUGAAAUCCCUCGGCUCAACCGAGGAAUUGCGCUCAAAACCCCCAAGCUUGAGGAAGGCAGAGGUGAGCGGAACUGAUGGUGGAGCGGUGAAAUGCGUUGAUAUCAUCAGGAACACCGGUGGCGAAGGCGGCUCACUGGGCCUUUUCUGACGCUGAGGCACGAAAGCUAGGGUAGCGAACAGGAUUAGAUA